UACGAAGGGGGCUAGCGUUGCUCGGAAUUACUGGGCGUAAAGGGCGCGUAGGCGGAUUGUCAAGUUGGGGGUGAAAUCCCGGGGCUCAACCUCGGAAUUGCCUUCAAAACUGAUGAUCUGGAGUAUGGUAGAGGUAAGUGGAACUCCGAGUGUAGAGGUGAAAUUCGUAGAUAUUCGGAAGAACACCAGUGGCGAAGGCGACGUACUGGACCAUUACUGACGCGGAGGAGCGAAAGCGUGGGGAGCAAACAGG
Molecule: ribosomal RNA, 253 nt
Filed under: uncultured bacterium
Lineage: Bacteria
Description: partial 16S ribosomal RNA
Rfam family: Bacterial small subunit ribosomal RNA
Source: RNAcentral